UACGGGAGGGGCGAGCGUUAUUCGGAAUGACUGGGCGUAAAGAGCGUGUAGGUGGUUUGGUGUAUGUCACUGUGAUAAAUUCUGGGGCUCAACUCUUUACAAAUCCGGUGAAACAGCCAAGCUUUUGAGUAUAACAGAAGAUGCCAGAAUGUUUAGUGUAGCAGCAAUAUGCGUAUAUAUUAAAUGGAAUGCCCAUGCGAAGGCAGGUACCUAUGUUAUUACUGACACUGAUAGCGCGAAAGCGUGGGGAUCAAAUCGG
RNAcentral lists this ribosomal RNA (259 nucleotides) under uncultured bacterium. RNAcentral's name for it is "partial 16S ribosomal RNA". It matches the Rfam family "Bacterial small subunit ribosomal RNA", at positions 524 to 776 of the family's 1533-position model. The record is from RNAcentral.